CCUACGGGUGGCAGCAGUAGGGAAUCUUCCACAAUGGGCGAAAGCCUGAUGGAGCAACGCCGCGUGGGUGAAGAAGGUCUUCGGAACGUAAAACCCUGUUGUUAGAGAAGAAAGUGCGUGAGAGUAACUGUUCACGUUUCGACGGCAUCUAACCAGCAAGCCACGGCUAACUACGUGCCAGCAGCCGCGGGAAUACGUAGGUGGCAAUCGUUAUCCGGAUUUGUUGGGAGUAAAGGGAACGCAGGCGGUCUUUUAAGUCUGAUGUGGAAGCCUUCGGCUUAACCGGAGUAGUGCAUUGGAAACUGGUAGACUUGAGUGCAGAAGAGGAGAGCGGAAUGCCAUGUGGAGCGGUGAAAUGCGUAGAUAGAUGGAAGAACACCAGUGGCGAAGGCGGCUCUCUGGUCUGUAACUGACGCUGAGGUUCGAAAGCGUGGGUAGCAAACAGGAUUAGAUACCCCUGUAGUC
This 465-nucleotide ribosomal RNA is filed under the name uncultured bacterium. Its description in RNAcentral is "partial 16S ribosomal RNA". It matches the Rfam family "Bacterial small subunit ribosomal RNA", at positions 338 to 795 of the family's 1533-position model. The record is from RNAcentral.